Molecule: ribosomal RNA, 252 nt
Filed under: uncultured bacterium
Lineage: Bacteria
Description: partial 16S ribosomal RNA
Rfam family: Bacterial small subunit ribosomal RNA
Source: RNAcentral
UACAGAGGUCUCAAGCGUUGUUCGGAUUCAUUGGGCGUAAAGGGUGUGUAGGUGGCGCGCUAAGUCGGGUGUGAAAUUUCGGAGCUUAACUCCGAAACUGCAUUCGAUACUGGCGUGCUUGAGGACUGGAGAGGAGACUGAAUUUACGGUGUAGCGGUGAAAUGCGUAGAUAUCGUAAGGAAGACCAGUGGCGAAGGCGGGUCUCUGGACAGUUCCUGACGCUGAGGCACGAAGGUCAGGGGAGCAAACGGG